AUUGAACGCUGGCGGCAGGCCUAACACAUGCAAGUCGAGCGGAUGAAGGGAGCUUGCUCCUGGAUUCAGCGGCGGACGGGUGAGUAAUGCCUAGGAAUCUGCCUGGUAGUGGGGGAUAACGUCCGGAAACGGGCGCUAAUACCGCAUACGUCCUGAGGGAGAAAGUGGGGGAUCUUCGGACCUCACGCUAUCAGAUGAGCCUAGGUCGGAUUAGCUAGUUGGUGGGGUAAAGGCCUACCAAGGCGACGAUCCGUAACUGGUCUGAGAGGAUGAUCAGCCACACGGGAACUGAGACACGGUCCAGAGUCCUACGGGAGGCAGCGGUGGGGAAUAUUGGACAAUGGGCGAAAGCCUGAUCCAGCCAUGCCGCGUGUGUGAAGAAGGUCUUCGGAUUGUAAAGCACUUUAAGUUGGGAGGAAGGGCAGUAAGUUAAUACCUUGCUGUUUUGACGUUACCAACAGAAUAAGCACCGGCUAACUUCGUG
This 484-nucleotide ribosomal RNA is filed under the name uncultured bacterium. RNAcentral's name for it is "partial 16S ribosomal RNA". It matches the Rfam family "Bacterial small subunit ribosomal RNA", at positions 30 to 507 of the family's 1533-position model. The record is from RNAcentral.